RNAcentral lists this long non-coding RNA (501 nucleotides) under Chinchilla lanigera (long-tailed chinchilla). Its description in RNAcentral is "lncRNA (ENSCLAG00000023216.1)". Lineage: Eukaryota; Metazoa; Chordata; Mammalia; Rodentia; Chinchillidae. The record is from RNAcentral.
CUGUCACCACCUGCCAAGGAGGCUGUGACUUAGGUAAUGGCCAGGGUCAGCAGAGCUGAAGGAUCAGCCUGGCUCCCCAUGACCCUGCACACUGGCCCUGGCCCGGGACACAUGCGUCCCAGACGUGCAGACACGGACUCCCUGGACACCCUGGCAGGCGGCCUCUGUCUCUGCAGUCACACAGGGAAGACUGGCCAGGUCGUUCCCAAGUGCUUUUCCUGGGCACAUCACACGGACAGACACCAGGGUCUGCACCUUACAGGACAUUCCCUUCCUCUUCCUCCUCAACUCCUGAGCCACUUGCCACCACCAGUUUAUGCCCAAAAGGGUAGGUCUUCUAACAGUGCAACACCAUGAGCCCCGCAAGGAACUUCCCGACCCAGUGGAACUUCCCACAAUGGUGCAAUGUUCCAGCUCCACACAGCGCAGAACAAGAGCCGCCAGCCACGCAGGGCUAUGGAGCAUUCAAAACGUGACCGGCGCACCUGCAGAAUGACACCG